RNAcentral lists this ribosomal RNA (622 nucleotides) under uncultured marine eukaryote. RNAcentral describes it as "SSU rRNA". It matches the Rfam family "Eukaryotic small subunit ribosomal RNA", at positions 612 to 1233 of the family's 1831-position model. The record is from RNAcentral.
GUUGCAGUUAAAAAGCUCGUAGUUGGAUUUCUGUGGGGGCGGAGCGGCCGGCCGCAACUUGCGGUUCGAGCUAGCGCUUCCCCUACAUCCUGCCGCGAACCGUGCUACCAUUAGUUUGGUGGCGCCGGGGAUCGGCUCGUUUACUUUGAGAAAAAUAGAGUGUUCAAAGCAGGCCACACGCCUUGAAUAAGUUAGCAUGGAAUAAUAAUUAAGGACUUCGGUUCUAUUUUGUUGGUGUUCGGGACUGAAGUAAUGAUUGAUAGGGACAGUUGGGGCGGUCAGUAUUCCAAAGCGAGAGGUGAAAUUCUUAGACCUUCGGAAGACUAACAGCUGCGAAAGCGUUCCGCAAGGAUGUUCCCUUUGAUCAAGAACGAAAGUUGGGGGAUCGAAGACGAUCAGAUACCGUCGUAGUCUCAACUAUAAACUACACCAGCUAGGGAUCGGUCAACGUUAAAUUAUUCGACUUGAUCGGCACCUUAUGAGAAAUCAAAGCAUCUGGGUUCCGGGGGGAGUAUGGUCGCAAGGCUGAAACUUAAAGGAAUUGACGGAAGGGCACCACCAGCCGUGGAGCCUGUGGCUUAAUUUGACUCAACACGGGAAAACUUACCAGGUCCAGACAUAG